CCUACGGGUGGCAGCAGUAGGGAAUCUUCCACAAUGGACGAAAGUCUGAUGGAGCAACGCCGCGUGAGUGAAGAAGGGUUUCGGCUCGUAAAACUCUGUUGGUAGUGAAGAAAGAUAGAGGUAGUAACUGGCCUUUAUUUGACGGUAAUUACUUAGAAAGUCACGGCUAACUACGUGCCAGCCGCCGCGGUAAUACGUAGGUGGCAAGCGUUGUCCGGAUUUAUUGGGCGUAAAGCGAGUGCAGGCGGUUCAAUAAGUCUGAUGUGAAAGCCUUCGGCUCAACCGGAGAAUUGCAUCAGAAACUGGUGAACUUGAGUGCAGAAGAGGAGAGUGGAACUCCAGGUGUAGCGGUGGAAUGCGUAGAUAUAUGGCAGAACACCAGUGGCGAAGGCGGCUCUCUGGGCUGCAACUGACGCUGAGGCUCGAAAGCAUGGGUAGCGAACAGGAUUAGAUACCCUAGUAGUC
RNAcentral lists this ribosomal RNA (465 nucleotides) under uncultured bacterium. Its description in RNAcentral is "partial 16S ribosomal RNA". It matches the Rfam family "Bacterial small subunit ribosomal RNA", at positions 338 to 795 of the family's 1533-position model. The record is from RNAcentral.